AGAGUUUGAUCCUGGCUCAGGACGAACGCUGGCGGCGUGCCUAAUACAUGCAAGUCGAACGCUUCUUUUUCCACCGGAGCUUGCUCCACCGGAAAAAGAGGAGUGGCGAACGGGUGAGUAACACGUGGGUAACCUGCCCAUCAGAAGGGGAUAACACUUGGAAACAGGUGCUAAUACCGUAUAACAAUCGAAACCGCAUGGUUUUGAUUUGAAAGGCGCUUUCGGGUGUCGCUGAUGGAUGGACCCGCGGUGCAUUAGCUAGUUGGUGAGGUAACGGCUCACCAAGGCGACGAUGCAUAGCCGACCUGAGAGGGUGAUCGGCCACAUUGGGACUGAGACACGGCCCAAACUCCUACGGGAGGCAGCAGUAGGGAAUCUUCGGCAAUGGACGAAAGUCUGACCGAGCAACGCCGCGUGAGUGUAGAAGGUUUUCGGAUCGUAAAACUCUGUUGUUAGAGAAGAACAAGGAUGAGAGUAACUGUUCAUCCCUUGACGGUAUCUAACCAGAAAGCCACGGCUAACUACGUGCCAGCAGCCGCGGUAAUACGUAGGUGGCAAGCGUUGUCCGGAUUUAUUGGGCGUAAAGCGAGCGCAGGCGGUUUCUUAAGUCUGAUGUGAAAGCCCCCGGCUCAACCGGGGAGGGUCAUUGGAAACUGGGAGACUUGAGUGCAGAAGAGGAGAGUGGAAUUCCAUGUGUAGCGGUGAAAUGCGUAGAUAUAUGGAGGAACACCAGUGGCGAAGGCGGCUCUCUGGUCUGUAACUGACGCUGAGGCUCGAAAGCGUGGGGAGCAAACAGGAUUAGAUACCCUGGUAGUCCACGCCGUAAACGAUGAGUGCUAAGUGUUGGAGGGUUUCCGCCCUUCAGUGCUGCAGCUAACGCAUUAAGCACUCCGCCUGGGGAGUACGACCGCAAGGUUGAAACUCAAAGGAAUUGACGGGGGCCCGCACAAGCGGUGGAGCAUGUGGUUUAAUUCGAAGCAACGCGAAGAACCUUACCAGGUCUUGACAUCCUUUGACCACUCUAGAGAUAGAGCUUCCCCUUCGGGGGCAAAGUGACAGGUGGUGCAUGGUUGUCGUCAGCUCGUGUCGUGAGAUGUUGGGUUAAGUCCCGCAACGAGCGCAACCCUUAUUGUUAGUUGCCAUCAUUUAGUUGGGCACUCUAGCAAGACUGCCGGUGACAAACCGGAGGAAGGUGGGGAUGACGUCAAAUCAUCAUGCCCCUUAUGACCUGGGCUACACACGUGCUACAAUGGCGCAUACAAAGAGAAGCGACCUCGCGAGAGCAAGCGGACCUCAUAAAGUGCGUCGUAGUCCGGAUUGGAGUCUGCAACUCGACUCCAUGAAGUCGGAAUCGCUAGUAAUCGUGGAUCAGAAUGCCACGGUGAAUACGUUCCCGGGCCUUGCACUCACCGCCCGUCAA
This 1420-nucleotide ribosomal RNA is filed under the name uncultured bacterium. RNAcentral's name for it is "bacterial SSU rRNA". It matches the Rfam family "Bacterial small subunit ribosomal RNA". The record is from RNAcentral.